RNAcentral lists this long non-coding RNA (214 nucleotides) under Manihot esculenta (cassava). RNAcentral describes it as "long non-coding RNA (MESC_LNC002191)". Lineage: Eukaryota; Viridiplantae; Streptophyta; Magnoliopsida; Malpighiales; Euphorbiaceae. The record is from RNAcentral.
UUUUGAAUAGUAUAUGUCCACUUAUAUGUAUGUAAAAGUUGAAAUUAAAAAUUUGUUUCAUAUGAUCAUGCUCUGCCGGAUAGAUGUUGUUCAGUCCAGGAUGAGCUUUUUGCUCUCAUUCGUGGCCUCCAGCUUGCAUGGGAUUUAAAGCAACAGCUGCAUGCUGAUGUGAGGGCUGUUGCUUGGCCUCCAGUUAUGAACAUGGUUGUUUUGG